GCCUUCGUAGUGUAGUGGUCAGCACACUCAACACAUAAGCGAGAGAUCCGUGGUUCGAUUCCUAGCAAAUGCG
RNAcentral lists this transfer RNA (73 nucleotides) under Stegodyphus mimosarum. It matches the Rfam family "tRNA". Rfam says of the family: Transfer RNA (tRNA) molecules are approximately 80 nucleotides in length. Their secondary structure includes four short double-helical elements and three loops (D, anti-codon, and T loops). Further hydrogen bonds mediate the characteristic L-shaped molecular structure. tRNAs have two regions of fundamental functional importance: the anti-codon, which is responsible for specific mRNA codon recognition, and the 3' end, to which the tRNAs corresponding amino acid is attached (by aminoacyl-tRNA synthetases). tRNAs cope with the degeneracy of the genetic code in two manners: having more than one tRNA (with a specific anti-codon) for a particular amino acid; and 'wobble' base-pairing, i.e. permitting non-standard base-pairing at the 3rd anti-codon position. The record is from Rfam by way of RNAcentral. Lineage: Eukaryota; Metazoa; Arthropoda; Arachnida; Araneae; Eresidae.